AUACGUAGGGUGCGAGCGUUAAUCGGAAUUACUGGGCGUAAAGCGUGCGCAGGCGGUUUUGUAAGACAGUGGUGAAAUCCCCGGGCUCAACCUGGGAACUGCCAUUGUGACUGCAAGGCUGGAGGGCGGCAGAGGGGGAUGGAAUUCCGCGUGUAGCAGUGAAAUGCGUAGAUAUGCGGAGGAACACCGAUGGCGAAGGCAAUCCCCUGGGCCUGUACUGACGCUCAUGCACGAAAGCGUGGGGAGCAAACAGGAUUAGAUACCCUGGUAGUCCGCGCCCUAAACGAUGUCAACUGGUUGUUGGGUCUUCAUUGACUCAGUAACGAAGCUAACGCGUGAAGUUGACCGCCUGGGGAGUACGGCCGCAAGGUUGAAACUCAAAUGAAUUGACGGGG
RNAcentral lists this ribosomal RNA (395 nucleotides) under uncultured bacterium. RNAcentral's name for it is "partial 16S ribosomal RNA". It matches the Rfam family "Bacterial small subunit ribosomal RNA", at positions 523 to 918 of the family's 1533-position model. The record is from RNAcentral.